RNAcentral lists this ribosomal RNA (475 nucleotides) under uncultured bacterium. RNAcentral's name for it is "SSU rRNA". It matches the Rfam family "Bacterial small subunit ribosomal RNA", at positions 26 to 481 of the family's 1533-position model. The record is from RNAcentral.
AGAACGAACGCUGGUGGCAUGCCUAACACAUGCAAGUCGAACGAGAAGUCCCGCAAGGGAUUGUAAAGUGGCGCACGGGUGCGUAACACGUGGGUAAUCUACCCUUUAGCUUGGGAUAACCUCUCGAAAGAGAGGCUAAUACCGGAGAGACCACAGGGACAUCAGUCCUAGGGGUUAAAGAUGGGGACCGCAAGGCCUAUCACUAUUGGAUGAGCUCGCGCACUAUCAGCUAGUUGGUGAGGUAAUGGCUCACCAAGGCUAUGACGGUUAGCUGGUCUGAGAGGAUGAUCAGCCACACUGGAACUGAGACACGGUCCAGACUCCUACGGGAGGCAGCAGUGGGGAAUCUUGCACAAUGGGCGAAAGCCUGAUGCAGCAAUGCCGCGUGAGUGAUGAAGGCCUUCGGGUUGUAAAUCUCUGUCGGCGUGGGACAAACGGGUUCAUGUCUAAUAGGCAUGAGCAGUGAUGGUAACCG